Molecule: ribosomal RNA, 253 nt
Filed under: uncultured prokaryote
Description: partial 16S ribosomal RNA
Rfam family: Bacterial small subunit ribosomal RNA
Source: RNAcentral
ACGUAGGUGGCGAGCGUUGUCCGGAUUUACUGGGCGUAAAGGGCUUGUAGGCGGUCCGUUAAGUCCGAUGUGAAAUCUCCCGGCUCAACUGGGAGAGGUCAUUGGAUACUGGCGGACUAGAGGGGGGUAGAGGAAAGCAGAAUUCCUGGUGUAGCGGUGAAAUGCGUAGAUAUCAGGAGGAACACCGGUGGCGAAGGCGGCUUUCUGGACAGUAACCGACGCUGAGGCACGAAAGCUAGGGGAGCAAACAGGA